GUUUUUUUUUUUUUUUUCAUUUCAUGUAAUUUUGUGUUUGGUAUUAAUUUCUUUAGUUUUAGAUUCCUUUUUUUGUCUUUUGGAAUUCUUUGUUUGUGUUGCAUUUUGAUCAUCUUCCUUUACUCAUUAGUUUACGUUUGGUUUUUUAAUUUUUCUUUGCACAUUUUGCUUUAGUUUUGUUUGUUAUUUGUUUAAUUCAUGCGAAUCCUUUUGAGCUUAUUGUUUGUUGAUUUCCAUUUUUGGGUAUUAUCUCUAUUGUUCGGGGUUUUUCUGAAUCAAAAUAACUAAUUGCAUAAUAGUGUUUGAUGAAAUAUCUCUUAGAACCAUAUUCUUUGGCUUGAGAAGUUAUUGUGUUAAAUUGAUUGUUCCAGCAAUUUUAGUGAUAUCUCAAUUGUUUUGUUGGUAGUUUUGC
Molecule: unclassified non-coding RNA, 412 nt
Filed under: Hevea brasiliensis (rubber tree)
Lineage: Eukaryota; Viridiplantae; Streptophyta; Magnoliopsida; Malpighiales; Euphorbiaceae
Source: RNAcentral